Pantherophis guttatus is the source of this 685-nucleotide long non-coding RNA. RefSeq lists it as uncharacterized. The record is from RefSeq and is a predicted model, not a curated record. NCBI's taxonomy places the organism in Eukaryota, Metazoa, Chordata, Lepidosauria, Squamata, Colubridae.
UUCAAGUGUGGAAAAGAAGGGCACCGAGCUUCAGAGUGUCAUUCGCAAACACCCGCCCGGAACCACCCACCGGGGGAGGGUCCUUGAAAACCGGGUCGGCGUGGGAAGGAGACUGCCCUGAGGAGCAGGGAGACCAUAGAAGUCCCAUCCCCUCCCCUCUUUGGGGAAGAAACCCUGGCAUCUGAACAGGAGGAAUCACACUCGUUCGGAAGCGAUCCAGAUGAUGAGCCACUGGUGGACCCUUUUGUUUUCUAAGGAGGGUAGCAUGUCAGAUCCCUAAAAGUGAUACUGCCAUUCAAGUGAAGGAAAGUGCCUAGAUGAAUUCAAGUGAAGGAAGGGGGGACUUGGAUUCGAUUUACUAGCAUGGCCUGUGUCAUCAGAUAUUUUACGACCUAUAUCCUGGCGCCAAGGAAGCCUGAGAUUCCCUUUACCUGAAGGAAUUUAUAUGAUAGCCAUGUGGGUUGUCUCACUUUAAAGGGAAGUGGUGGGAAUGCAUGUUUGUUCGGGUUCUCAAAGGAAAUAGUAAAGAAAACAUCUUCACACUUGUGUAUUGGCUGAAAUCUGCAAUCUGACCUAAAGGGAGGGGUCUCUACCACUUUAAUCCUACUGCUUUGCCUAAGGGCAUUCAGAUUGUGCUUUAGCUGGAUGGUUUUCACUUCUGCUUAAUAAAAGAAUCCUUUUGAAC